Molecule: ribosomal RNA, 533 nt
Filed under: Stylonectria norvegica
Lineage: Eukaryota; Fungi; Ascomycota; Sordariomycetes; Hypocreales; Nectriaceae
Description: eukaryotic LSU rRNA
Rfam family: 5.8S ribosomal RNA (bases 179-332)
Source: RNAcentral
AGGGAUCAUUAUCGAGUUUACAACUCCCAAACCCCUGUGAACCAUACCUAUCGUUGCUUCGGCGGGACCGCUUCGGACCAAGCCCCGUUUACGGGGAUCCAACAGCGUUUCAACCCGCCGGGGGACCCAAACUCUUGUCUUUAUGUGGUAUUUUCUGAGUAAAACAAAAAUAAAUCAAAACUUUUAACAACGGAUCUCUUGGUUCUGGCAUCGAUGAAGAACGCAGCGAAAUGCGAUAAGUAAUGUGAAUUGCAGAAUUCAGUGAAUCAUCGAAUCUUUGAACGCACAUUGCGCCCGCUAGUAUUCUGGCGGGCAUGCCUGUUCGAGCGUCAUUUCAACCCUCAAGCCCCCGGGCUUGGUGUUGGGGAUCGGCCGCCUCCCCGGCGGCCGUCCCCGAAAUCUAGUGGCGGUCUCGCUGUAGCCUCCUCUGCGUAGUAGCACACCUCGCACCGGAACGCAGCUUGGCCACGCCGUUAAACCCCCCACUUCUGAAGGUUGACCUCGGAUCAGGUAGGAAUACCCGCUGAACUUAA